GUCUUCCGAAAAAUGUUUUAACCCUUCGCUGGGCGCCGCAAAUUCAAGUUUUGAAGCACAAAAAUAUACGAGCGUUCAUAACGCACGGUGGAUUGGGAGGAUGUUUGGAGUCACUUAGGUACGCCGUGCCGUUAAUAGGUGUGCCAUUAUUCGCCGAUCAAUUCAGUAACAUAGACGCAGCUGUGCACAGAGGAAUCGCGGUGAGACUCGAUCACGAAAAAUUGACGGCAGACAAAAUUAUUGAAGCGGUAAAAAGCGUCGUUCACGACACGAAAUACAAGAACAACAUGAUCAAGUUAUCGAAAGAAUUUCUGGAUCGACCAAAAAGUCCGAGAGAAACGAGCGUAUUUUGGAU
This 355-nucleotide unclassified non-coding RNA is filed under the name Athalia rosae (coleseed sawfly). RNAcentral's name for it is "misc RNA ENSAEAG00005010651.1". Lineage: Eukaryota; Metazoa; Arthropoda; Insecta; Hymenoptera; Athaliidae. The record is from RNAcentral.